This is a long non-coding RNA of Arachis ipaensis, 881 nucleotides long. RefSeq lists it as uncharacterized. The record is from RefSeq and is a predicted model, not a curated record. NCBI's taxonomy places the organism in Eukaryota, Viridiplantae, Streptophyta, Magnoliopsida, Fabales, Fabaceae.
ACUGUCAUCAGUUGGUACAUUCCUAGUUCGGUUUUAGCCAUUAAUCUCGAUUAUGUAUAUAUUUUAUGAUUGAAAUUAAUGGCUAAAACUAUUGAAACAUCAGUAUUUCUAAAUUACUCGAAACACUUUCUAUAUUUUUUAUUUAAACAAAUUGGUUUGUAAUUGUACCAAACAAUGACAGUAACAGAAAAAAAAAAAAAACAUCAGAGUACAUGACUGUGGUUUGAUCUGAGCUUACAUUGCUCAUAUCAUGUGUUCUCAGGUCGCCCCUGCGGGAUUUUCUCUACCAAAUUACGGGAUUGUUUUCAAAGUGUAUUUGAUUGUGGAUGCAGUUCCCACAAAUGAAAUUGGAGGUAAAAUAAAAAGGGAGAAAACCAGAAGAACCGGCAGCGCGAGGCAACAUGCCGAUAGGACAUGGGUUCCAUGACUUUGCCAGAGUCCACACUUGUGGUUUUUUAGUCUCGCAAUCCAUAGCCAUUGGAUUUUUCUUCUUCAUAAUCUGUUGUUUAACUGACUCUAGCUUUCUAGCUGCUUCAUGUAUACAUUCCUCAAAUUGGGAUAUAUUCUUUGAAUUCAAUAAAGAGUUAUCAUCAUCAGAAAUUUCUAAAUUGGACAAACAAAUAGUAGAAACCUUUCUAACUCUAUCCAACAAAGAGGUAUCAUCCAUCAGUACUGCAAGAUAAAGGGCUGAAUCCAUAAGCUGCUUGUUGCAGAGUCGUGAUACUAGAAGACAUUUUCGAAGAAGUUCAACCAAAACUCCUUUAGGCAUUUUUGAUGCUGCAGAAGGGGUUUUGCAGAGAAUUCCAACAAGCCAUGCAAACAAAGAAGAAAGAUGAUGACGUUGGUAAGACACUGCAAACAAAGGACAUAAAAGUCAUGCC